UGGGGGAUAUUGCACAAUGGGCGAAAGCCUGAUGCAGCGACGCCGCGUGGGGGAUGAAGGCCUUCGGGUUGUAAACUUCUUUUGCUCUGAACAAGGCGCACCAUGGGGUGUGUUGAGUGUAGGGGUUGAUUAGCGCCGGCUAACUACGUGCCAGCAGCCGCGGUAAUACGUAGGGCGCGAGCGUUGUCCGGAAUUAUUGGGCGUAAAGGGCUUGUAGGUGGCUGGUUGCGUCUGUCGUGAAAGCUCAUGGCUUAACUGUGGGUUUGCGGUGGGUACGGGCUGGCUUGAGGGGAGUAGGGGAGGCUGGAAUUCCUGGUGGAGCGGUGGAAUGCGCAGAUAUAAGGAGGAAUACCGGUGGCGAAGGCGGGUCUCUGGGCUGUUACUGACACUGAGGAGCGAAAGCAUGGGGAGCGAACAGG
This 419-nucleotide ribosomal RNA is filed under the name bacterium. RNAcentral describes it as "partial 16S ribosomal RNA". It matches the Rfam family "Bacterial small subunit ribosomal RNA", at positions 355 to 776 of the family's 1533-position model. The record is from RNAcentral.